AUUGAACGCUGGCGGCAGGCCUAACACAUGCAAGUCGAACGAGGGGCGGACGGGUGAUGAAUGUGUGGGAAACUGCCUGAUGGAGGGGGAGAACUACUGGGAACGGUAUCUAAUGCCGCAUGCGGUCAGAUGUGCCCAGAUGGGAUUAGCUAGUUGGUGGGGUAACGGCUCACCAAGGCGACGAUCCCUAGCUGGUCUGAGAGGAUGACCAGCCACACUGGAACUGAGACACGGUCCAGACUCCUACGGGAGGCAGCAGUGGGGAAUAUUGCACAAUGGGCGCAAGCCUGAUGCAGCCAUGCCGCGUGUAUGAAGAAGGCCUUCGGGUUGUAAAGUACUUUCAGCGGGGAGGCGUUACCCGCAGAAGAAGCACCGGCUAACUCCGUGCCACCCGCCGCGGUAAUAC
This 406-nucleotide ribosomal RNA is filed under the name uncultured bacterium. Its description in RNAcentral is "partial 16S ribosomal RNA". It matches the Rfam family "Bacterial small subunit ribosomal RNA", at positions 30 to 526 of the family's 1533-position model. The record is from RNAcentral.